UACGUAGGGAGCAAGCGUUGUCCGGAAUCAUUGGGCGUAAAGCGCGCGUAGGUGGCCUCGUAAGUCCGCUGUGAAAGUCAAAGGCUCAACCUUUGAAAGCCGGUGGAUACUGUGAGGCUAGAGUACGGAAGAGGCGAGUGGAAUUCCUGGUGUAGCGGUGGAAUGCGCAGAUAUCAGGAGGAACACCAAUAGCGAAGGCAGCUCGCCGGGACGUUACUGACACUGAGGCGCGAAAGCGUGGGGAGCAAACAGG
RNAcentral lists this ribosomal RNA (253 nucleotides) under uncultured bacterium. RNAcentral describes it as "partial 16S ribosomal RNA". It matches the Rfam family "Bacterial small subunit ribosomal RNA", at positions 524 to 776 of the family's 1533-position model. The record is from RNAcentral.